UUUUAUACGGGAAUAAAGUGAGCCACGUGUGGCUUUUUGUAUGUACCGUAUGAAUAAGGAUCGGCUAACUCCGUGCCAGCAGCCGCGGUAAUACGGAGGAUCCGAGCGUUAUCCGGAUUUAUUGGGUUUAAAGGGAGCGUAGGCGGGUUGUUAAGUCAGUUGUGAAAGUUUGCGGCUCAACCGUAAAAUUGCAGUUGAUACUGGCGACCUUGAGUGCAACAGAGGUAGGCGGAAUUCGUGGUGUAGCGGUGAAAUGCUUAGAUAUCACGAAGAACUCCGAUUGCGAAGGCAGCUUACUGGAUUGUAACUGACGCUGAUGCUCGAAAGUGUGGGUAUCAAACAGGAUUAGAUACCCUGGUAGUCCACACAGUAAACGAUGAAUACUCGCUGUUGGCGAUAUACAGUCAGCGGCCAAGCGAAAGCAUUAAGUAUUCCACCUGGGGAGUACGCCGGCAACGGUGCAACUCAAAGGAAUUGACGGA
RNAcentral lists this ribosomal RNA (482 nucleotides) under uncultured organism. Its description in RNAcentral is "bacterial SSU rRNA". It matches the Rfam family "Bacterial small subunit ribosomal RNA", at positions 434 to 917 of the family's 1533-position model. The record is from RNAcentral.